This 394-nucleotide long non-coding RNA is filed under the name Capsella rubella. Its description in RNAcentral is "long non-coding RNA (CRUB_LNC002161)". Lineage: Eukaryota; Viridiplantae; Streptophyta; Magnoliopsida; Brassicales; Brassicaceae. The record is from RNAcentral.
UACCAUGAACAGUAACAUUUUUUAUAUCUAAUGCCAGUUUUACUUUUUCCUUCUCUUGGGUGUCAUACCUCUAAUUUAAAAACACUAUUCUACCCUUAUACAAUUGAGAUCAGUUUUGUUUUUAUUUUUAUUUUUUUUCUUUCACAUAAAGCUAUACUAUUUAACACCUACCAAACUUUUCAGUGCUUCUUUUCACUUUCAUUUUUUUUUUAAUUUCUUUCUCUGCAACUCUCUCUUUUUUGGGUAUUAAUAUCUGUUUUUAAUCUAGUUUGUGAUGAAAUUGUUCGACUACAACGAUGAAUAACGAUGCUUCAUUCUAAGUAUGUGGUCCACGCUAGCAGACUAGAUCCAUUUUUCCAGCCCAUUUUUUCUCUAUCAAUGGACCAGAUCUAAU